CAGCCGCCGCGGUAAUACGUAGGGUGCAAGCAUUAAUCGGAAUUACUGGGCGUAAAGCGUGCGCAGGCGGUUAUAUAAGUCAGAUGUGAAAUCCCCGGGCUCAACCUGGGAACUGCAUUUGAGACUGUAUGGCUAGAGUGUGUCAGAGGGGGGUAGAAUUCCACGUGUAGCAGUGAAAUGCGUAGGUAUGCGGAGGAACACCGAUGGCGAAGGCAAUCCCCUGGACCUGUACUGACGCUCAUGCACGAAAGCGUGGGGAGCAAACAGGAUUAGAUACCCGUGUAGUCCCUGUCUCUUAUAC
Molecule: ribosomal RNA, 301 nt
Filed under: uncultured bacterium
Lineage: Bacteria
Description: partial 16S ribosomal RNA
Rfam family: Bacterial small subunit ribosomal RNA
Source: RNAcentral